CGUAGGUGACCUGCGGAGGAUCAUUACAAGUGAGGCUACCGAACGUUGGAAACAGCGGUUAGGAGCUUACACCCACCCGUGUUUACAUACUAUUGUUGCUUUGGCGGGCCGUGGCCUCCACUGCGGGCUCUGCUCGUGUGUGCCCGCCAGAGAACCAAACUCUGAAUGUUAGUGAUGUCUGAGUACUAUCUAAUAGUUAAAACUUUCAACAACGGAUCUCUUGGUUCUGGCAUCGAUGAAGAACGCAGCGAAAUGCGAUAAGUAAUGUGAAUUGCAGAAUUCAGUGAAUCAUCGAAUCUUUGAACGCACAUUGCGCCCUGUGGUAUUCCGCAGGGCAUGCCUGUUCGAGCGUCAUUUAACCACUCACGCCUAGCGUGGUAUUGGGGCACGCGGUCUCCGCGGCCCUCAAAAUUAGUGGCGGCGCCGGUGGGCUCUAAGCGUAGUACAUACUCCCGCUAUAGAGUCCCCCCGGUGGCUCGCCAGAACCCCCAAUUUUUACAGGUUGACCUCGGAUCAGGUAGGGAUACCCGCUGAACUUAA
This 540-nucleotide ribosomal RNA is filed under the name uncultured fungus. Its description in RNAcentral is "eukaryotic LSU rRNA". The stretch from base 201 to 354 matches the Rfam family "5.8S ribosomal RNA". The record is from RNAcentral. Lineage: Eukaryota; Fungi.